RNAcentral lists this unclassified non-coding RNA (378 nucleotides) under Hevea brasiliensis (rubber tree). Lineage: Eukaryota; Viridiplantae; Streptophyta; Magnoliopsida; Malpighiales; Euphorbiaceae. The record is from RNAcentral.
CAGCAAGCAAAUUCCCAAAAGUGGUCGCAUUUGGCUUCACCACCUUCCUAUCCAUCUCUGCUAUAACCGAAUAACCCGAACUGGAACUCCCAGACUCACAAAAUGCCUUGAUAACCGUAUUAUAAGUAUCCAAAUUCGGCUCAAUACUAUAAAUCUUAGGGAACUCGAGAAAAAUCCGCUUCACCUCCCUAUAAUCCUUAGCCAAAAUACAAGCGAAAAGCAGAGCAUUCAGAGCCUUAACAGACCCAGUACCAGAACCAACAACAUCGGCGUGAUAUUCCUGGAAGGUGCGGAUAGCGUGGUCCAUCAUGUUGGCCUGGCCAAAAAGCACGAUGGCGUGGCCGGCGAAUCGUUCGGAGGACCUAAGGUCAGCGCGGG